This 717-nucleotide ribosomal RNA is filed under the name uncultured Pseudomonadota bacterium. Its description in RNAcentral is "bacterial SSU rRNA". It matches the Rfam family "Bacterial small subunit ribosomal RNA", at positions 8 to 769 of the family's 1533-position model. The record is from RNAcentral. Lineage: Bacteria; Pseudomonadati; Pseudomonadota.
AGAGUUUGAUCAUGGCUCAUAGCGAACGCUGGCGGCAGGCCUAACACAUGCAAGUCGAGCGGGCGUAGCAAUACGUCAGCGGCAGACGGGAGAGUAACACGUGGGAACGCGCCCUUCGGUUCGGAAUAACCCAGGGAAACUUGGACUAAUACCGGAUACGCCCUAACGGGGAAAGAUUUAUUGCCGAAGGAUUGGCCCGCGUCCGAUUAGCUAGUUGGUGAGGUAAUGGCUCACCAAGGCGACGAUCGGUAGCUGGUCUGAGAGGAUGAUCAGCCACACUGGGACUGAGACACGGCCCAGACUCCUACGGGAGGCAGCAGUGGGGAAUAUUGGACAAUGGGCGCAAGCCUGAUCCAGCCAUGCCGCGUGAGUGAUGAAGGCCCUAGGGUUGUAAAGCUCUUUCGCCAGGGACGAUAAUGACGGUACCUGGAUAAGAAGCCCCGGCUAACUUCGUGCCAGCAGCCGCGGUAAUACGAAGGGGGCUAGCGUUGUUCGGAAUCACUGGGCGUAAAGCGCACGUAGGCGGAUCUUUAAGUCAGGGGUGAAAUCCCGAGGCUCAACCUCGGAACUGCCUUUGAUACUGGAGGUCUCGAGUCCGGGAGAGGUGAGUGGAACUGCGAGUGUAGAGGUGAAAUUCGUAGAUAUUCGCAAGAACACCAGUGGCGAAGGCGGCUCACUGGCCCGGUACUGACGCUGAGGUGCGAAAGCGUGGGGAGC